UUCGGGAGCCUAUACAGGUUGUUGCAUGGCUGUCGUCAGCUCGUGUCGUGAGAUGUUCGGUUAAGUCCGCUAACGAGCGCAACCCUCGUCGUAUGUUAUAUGUGCAUACGAGACUGCCGGUAAAAGCCGGAGGAAGGUGAGGAUGAUGUCAAGUCAGCAUGACCUUUAUAUCCAGGGCUACACACACGCUACAAUGGUCUGUACAAUGGGUAGCCAAGCCGCGAGGCGGAGCCAAUCCUGAAAGCAGGCCUCAGUUCAGAUUGCAGUCUGCAACUCGACUGCAUGAAGCCGGAGUUGCUAGUAACCGCAGGUCAGCAAUACUGCGGUGAAUACGUUCCCGGGUCUU
This 346-nucleotide ribosomal RNA is filed under the name uncultured Anaerolineaceae bacterium. RNAcentral describes it as "bacterial SSU rRNA". It matches the Rfam family "Bacterial small subunit ribosomal RNA", at positions 1021 to 1382 of the family's 1533-position model. Lineage: Bacteria; Bacillati; Chloroflexota; Anaerolineae; Anaerolineales; Anaerolineaceae. The record is from RNAcentral.